Molecule: ribosomal RNA, 510 nt
Filed under: uncultured bacterium
Lineage: Bacteria
Description: bacterial SSU rRNA
Rfam family: Bacterial small subunit ribosomal RNA
Source: RNAcentral
CGACUACGAGGUUUGAUCCUGGCUCAGGAUGAACGCUAGCGGCAGGCCUAAUACAUGCAAGUCGAACGGAUAUAUGUUUUUCGGAAUAUAUAUUAGUGGCGCACGGGUGAGUAACACGUACAUAACUUGCCCUCAAGCGGGGGAUAGCCUUGGGAAACUGAGAGUAAUACCCCAUAGAAUUAUUGGACGGCAUCGUUUGAUAAUUAAAACUACGGUGCUUGGGGAUAGAUGUGCGUCUGAUUAGCUAGUUGGUGAGGUAACUGCUCACCAAGGCGACGAUCAGUAGGGGGGCGUGAGAGCGUGGCCCCCCACACGGGUACUGAGACACGGACCCGACUCCUACGGGAGGCAGCAGUAAGGAAUAUUGGUCAAUGGAGGGAACUCUGAACCAGCCAUGCCGCGUGAAGGAUGACGGCCCUCUGGGUUGUAAACUUCUUUUGGAUGGGGCGAAAAAACGGGAUUUAUCCUGGACUGACGGUACCAUCAGAAUAAGCACCGGCUAACUCCGUG